AGCCAUGGGACGCGGCUGAUUUCUAAAAGGAACUGAAUUCCUCCGAAUUAUCCAGCAGCGUUUCUGAGCUAUGAGCUCUUAUAAACCGGUCAUGUGUGUGUCCGUCCCUGGUAUGACUCCAUGGCAAAGAAAAAUGCUAGAAAUCAGCGAAUUUUCUAGCGAAUUUUGAACUGAGGAUAUCAGCACUAAGACAGCAGCUGGCAGAGAAACAGCAAACUAACAGGUACAAAGAUCGUUUGAUUCACUAGGGAUGUUCGACAUCUGCUGCAUUUCAACGUUUCGGUGACCACAUAACAAAUGACCGAGAGAGAGGAGAGGAGCUACUUUUAUAUAUAGAACCAAACAAACACCACGCACCUCCCAUCCAACAUCAGCGCUCACAUGCGCGGUCAUCAGAAGAAAAA
This is a long non-coding RNA of Lineus longissimus, 404 nucleotides long. RefSeq lists it as uncharacterized. Lineage: Eukaryota; Metazoa; Nemertea; Pilidiophora; Heteronemertea; Lineidae. The transcript has 3 exons. The record is from RefSeq and is a predicted model, not a curated record.